GAGUUUAUUACAAAUUUCAGUCAUUUUUAGAAGGUUGUACCGUUGGCAGUGACUGGCAUUCACAGUUCAAGAAUCAUCUCUCCUGCCUGCGCAAAAACUGCGUUAUUGGGAUUAACUUGAGUGAAAAGGUUUACAUUACGAUAUUGGAAAUUAUAUUAUCGGUCGCCAUUACUGCUUACGGCAAAGAUCGAGAAAAAGGUGUACAGGAGGGUGCUGAGGUCCACCUGAAGCAGGGGUGAGCGAUGUUAGGCUGGCUGCUGCUGGUGGCGCUCUUCAUCUGUCACGCCCCAGCAGGAGGUGAUGGCGCCUGGUGGCACAAGGACCACUUCAACCCCCUCAACACCGACACUGUCUCAGUGAAUGACUCGUGCGUGGUGAGAAGGUCGUUCUGGAACAACUCUGUGGAGGGCGUCGGGUGGCAUGUCUUCCUGAGGAUCGACAACGACACCGAUAUCCCACCUCAGUCGUUCUUCCUCACUCUGGACGACGCCUCCAGCGCCUCCCUCGUGAAGUUCUCUUGGGCUGGCCAGGACAAAGAGAGAGAGAGAUAUGAGAGAGAGAGAGAGAGAGGGAGAGAGAGAGAGAGAGAGAGAGAGAGAGAGAGAGAGAGAGAGAGAGAGAGAGAGAGAGAGAGAGAGAGAGAGA
Molecule: non-coding RNA, 645 nt
Organism: Procambarus clarkii (red swamp crayfish)
Lineage: Eukaryota; Metazoa; Arthropoda; Malacostraca; Decapoda; Cambaridae
Source: RefSeq, a predicted model, not a curated record